This is an RNA transcript of Daphnia magna, 738 nucleotides long. RefSeq lists it as uncharacterized. Lineage: Eukaryota; Metazoa; Arthropoda; Branchiopoda; Diplostraca; Daphniidae. The record is from RefSeq and is a predicted model, not a curated record. The transcript has 4 exons.
UUGACUGUUGUCAAACUGUUGCAUUCCAGCUGCAUCAUUUGGGGAACUACAGCUUGUUUAAGAACUGAUCGGGGAGGAGAAAAUGUAUUAGCAACUGAUUACAUGUUAAAUGUGCGGGGUGUAAAUAGAUUCAGUUUUUUCGCUGGCUCUUCCAUGCGGAAUCAAAGAAUUGAACGUCAGUGGAGAGACACGAAUCAACGUGGUGUUCGACCGUUACUGAACACGUUUAAAGACAUGGAGAAUGCAGGGGUUAUCCAAAGUGACUCCGAACUAGAUCUUUUCAUUUUACAUCAGGUGGCAACUAAUCUAUUCCAGAGGACUCUAGAAACAUACGUAGACUCUUGGAACAACCAUCCUGUACGGACGGAAGGGAAAAAAAACUCCAAAUCAGCUAUAUAUUUCCGGCUUGGUACUACUUAAGCAACUUCAGGAAGAAGGACAAUUUCUCCGACCACGGGUCGAACUUCUCCAGGAUGAUGUUCUUCAUCUUCCGGAUAAUUUCAAUGACAUGGAGUAUUUGGAAUCGAUCGUCGGGCAAUUCCGACAAGCACGAGAAGUCCCCAAAUUCACUAAUCCCUUGAACGCUGAAGAAUUCGUCGAACUUCAUCAAAUAGUUAAUCCACAAUCAGUUAAAUUAGACAAUUUAAGUGAGAAAUUUAUCCUUGCCAAAAGAUUUGCAAUUUUCGUAUUAAGUAACAGGAAUGAGAUUGCAUUGUAAAAUAAACGUCAUUACUGCUA